RNAcentral lists this long non-coding RNA (550 nucleotides) under Cyanistes caeruleus (blue tit). RNAcentral's name for it is "lncRNA (ENSCCEG00000017531.1)". The record is from RNAcentral. Lineage: Eukaryota; Metazoa; Chordata; Aves; Passeriformes; Paridae.
ACCCCCUUAGUGCUGGCUCCAGGCAUCUAAACCAGGAUAAGCUGUUUAAAUCUCUUUGUAUUUUUCAGACACUGUGUCUCUCCAGGCCCAGAAACAGAAAAGAACACCACUAACCAUAUGAUAUGCCCUUUACUGCAGUCCCUGAGGGCUGAAGGCACUGAUGGAGUGAGACUCCAGCCCUCACCCCCAUCAGGUUUACUUGUUGAAGUUGUUGCUACCUUAUGCUGAUAAAGGAAAAGAGGUCAAGAGACAGGACUCUGGGACUUCAGUCAAUUCUAGACAGCCUGAGGCUUGCACAGAGAUCUGGAAUCAGGCCCUUGAGCAGAGAUGCUGCUCUGCUUGCUGAUGGCAGAUUGAAGCCUUUCAGAUAGUUAUUGCCCAGCUUGCUGCCAGCUGCUGGUGCCUGCACUCCCAUCACAGGGUAUGUUUAUGUGCCCUUUUGUUGUCACGUGUACUGCUUCCUAAUGAUAUUAUGUUAAAUGUUUUUCCUUUCCCCUAAACUUCUAUUAUCGAUAAUAAAAUCAAUUUUUUUAAAAUAUAUUUUCGAAAA